UUAUGCGCUGCCAACAACAACGAUAACGAAAGCAAAGUCCAACAACAUUGACACGAGAACGACGAAGGAGGAACGAAUAACGCCGACUUGAUUGCGAAGAUAUACACAUGUAUGUAUGUGUGUACAGAGACUACAGUGGACACGAUGUACGGAGUGGCGACAUCGGUGGGGCGUGCAUUGACUGCCGGCGCAGGCGAGACCAGCAGUAGCAGGCAAAGGCAGCAUUUCAAAUAUUUCACUCUUUAGUUGGCGCGACUGGCAAGCGAAACUACGAAACGCUGCGGCAAAGCAAAGGCAAAACGAGACAACGGCGGCAGCAGCGGUAACAACAAGCGUCAUACAUACAUACAUCAUAAGUAUAUGUAUGUAGAUAUUCUAAGUGUGCUCACAUGCGGAGCUCGAAAGCGCGAAAAACGCGAACGCAGCACUCAGAAGUGCUCAACAACGCGGCGGCGGUGUAUGCCAGCGAUUUCGGUGUGGAACACCAAAUCUCGGUUCUCGGUUCUCGAUUCUCGGAUUCUUCAGUUUAUUUCUUAAAUUGCCAAAAAUUCAGUUCGUUUCAUUUUCUGUGGUAUGUUUAUUUGAAAAAAAAAAUUGUUUCUAAAAUUUUAAAAAUAAAGUGAUUGGUGGAAAAUUCUUUUGCGUGUCACAAAUUUUGGCGAAAUAUAAUUGAGUCAAAAUAUAUAUACAUACAUAUAUAUAGAUAUAUAUAUACCUGCAUUCAAGCAUAAGAUAAAAUUGCAAUGCAACACAAAUGCAAAUACAACAAAAAUAAAGUAAGAAAAUAAGUUUAAAGUAAAGCAACAAAAGAUAUAUUUUAAAAGCGCUUAUAUAUAAAUUAGAAAAUAAAACUGAAAACAACAACAACACUAAUAAACAACUAUUGCUAAGCGCAAAUUGCAACAACAGCAACAAAAAUUGAAAAAAUAUACAAAACUAAAAUAUUACAACAACUUAGAGGCAAACUAGCAACAACAAUAAGACAUACCUGCAACAGAAGCAUACAAAAUUCAGUUACUUAGCAUGCGCCCUUCCAGCAGAAUAUAGAAAAUAAUAUUAAACAAAAAAUAUUAAAAAAAUAUUAACAAAACAAACAAAAAAUAUUGCAAAAAAAUAUUUUUAAAAAAUUAGCAAAAAAUAUUCAAAAACUAAAUAUUAUGAAAAAAAUAAAAUAAUUGCCUAAAGUCACAAAAGCGAACACAAAAGCGAAGCAGCAAAUUAAAUAAAAUUAAAAAAUAAAUAUAUGUACAUAUAUACAAAAAUACAUAAAGACAACCCAAAGCAAGCCAGUGAGCAAGCAAACGUUCUCAAGUGCAAUAUUUGUUGAAAACAAACGUAAUUUAAUUAGCAAAUAAUAAUUAAAUCAAUAAAAAAAUUAUUAUUAAUUUGUUUUUAUAAUUAAGUCUACAGACGAUUCUGCCUAGAAUUGUCAAUUGUUAAAAUAUAAAUAUAUUAUAAAUAAAAAACAUACACACAAACCGUUAUAAAUCAAUAAAUUCCUGUUAUUGUGAUUAAAAACAAAAUUUAACAAAAGUUAAACAAAUUUAAUGCAAAGCAAUUAAGCAAAGCCAGUAAGAAUACUAAGCAGUUAUGCUGUAAGCGAUAAGCCAGAAAGCAAGAGUUACGGUAAAAAACAACAAAAAACAAAAAUUAAAGAAUUGCAACAAAAUAUAAAAAAUUACUAACCAAAAAGUAUAAAAAAAUAAAAUAUUAAAAAAUAAAUUCAAAAAAUAAAAAUUUAAAAAAUUAAAAAAAAAUUACGAAAAUUUAAAAAUAAUUAGACAAAAAAAUUAAAAAUAAAUUAAAUAAAAUUUUAAAACAAAAAUUCAAAAAAUUUGAAAUAAUUAAAAAAAAAUUCAGCAAUUCAAAGCGCUUACAAAAUCUCCAUACAAGCAAUUUUACAAUUCAACCAGUAAUUAUUGCUCAUUUUUUGUGUGUCGCGAUUCCUGUUCUAAGCCAGAAACAAAAAUACAAAACAUAACCUAAAAAGCGAAAAAAAACGAAAGCAAAAUAAAGCCAGAAACAAGUAUUGUGCUGUGACCGGUGUGUCUUUGUUGUAAUUUUUUUAUUUUUGCCCCCCACCCCACGUUAAAAUUUGUAUGAAAAAAUGAGUGACCGGGAGCGAUCGUCCCCAACACUGAUCGAAACUGGUUUAAAGAAUCUAAUCGGCGGUCGAGAUGGGAAUUAUCCACUCAUCAGCGGCAUAAAUGGUAAGCGAACUUUCUCCAAUGAUUUUUUAUUUUCGGUAUAAACAAAAGGAAUGGUAAGCAAAUUUUUGACUUAGAACUAAUAUUCUUUCAGAAAAUAGUAUGAAAAGGAAAGUUCUUAUGACAUCUUGUGUUAAUCCAGAAAUUUGAGAAUCCAGAAAUUUUUAGUAUUACUAUCUAAGUCGAAAGUCUAGGUACAAUUAAAACAUUAUUCUGUUAUGAAAGCAGAAAGCUUGUGGAUGUACUUACUAUACAAUUUAUAUAUAUAUUAUUACCAAUAGAACAAUAAUUACGAGUAUGCCUAAGAAUAUAUUACCAAACAAGCUUUUACAGACUUUGUUGAUAUUGAUUACGGCGGCUAAGGGAUCUAGGCCAUUUAUACCAUUUUGGUCGACCACUUUUUGCCAUUUUUCCGCAAGAGACUUUAUUUCAUCAGUGUAAAACUUUUCUGGUUUCUCGGCAAAAAACUACGACAAGUAAUUUUCACUGGCUUCUCUUGUAGCCAACUUUACUCCAUUAAGGAAGUUCCGCAUUGACUGAAACAAAUGGUAGUCCGUUGGUGCAAGGUCAGGGCUAUAUGGUAGAUACAAGUCAUCAAAGAUGUGUGUGCUCUAGCGUUGUCCUGAUGGAAGACGAAGCCCGUUCUGAUGAUUGGUUCUGGCCGUUUUUUUUCGAAUGCUUGCUUAAAUCUCAUCAAUUGUUGACUGUAAAAUGAAGAAUCAAGCAGCUCAUAGUGGAUUAUUCUUUUCCAAUCCAACCAAAAACUCUCUCCAGCAACGACAUCUGUUCACAAAAUACGAUAAGGCUUUUUGGACUACCCAAUAGUAUAAAUGAUCAGUGUGACGAGUUGAGUCGAUUUUGCCAUGCUUGGCUGUCUGUUUAUAUGAGAUUUAGUACCUCAUUUUUUGAGAUAUUGUUCUGAAAAUUUGCAUUCCUCCAUUUCUCACCAAGAAGCUGCUUAUUUGUCGGAACCGUCGAUAUCGGAUCAUUACAACAUAUAGCUGCCAUAUAAACUGACCGAUGGGAAUAAAGCGAUUAUAUGAGAAGCUUUUCCAUUUGACGAGAUAUCUUUACGAAAAUUGGCGUAACUUAUUAAUUAAAGCAAUGUGCAAUACAGACGGAGAAAUUGUUUACAUUGGAUAGUUAUAGCAUAUAGCUGCCAUACGAACUAAACAAUCGGCAUCAAGUGCUUGUAUUGCAAUAUUUUACAUUUGAAGAGAUAUUUUAUCAAAAUUUCGGAGAGGUUAUUGUAAGAGGACUUUUUUCUCCGAAGCAACAGAAAAACAGAUAUAAUUCAACGUUCUCUUAUAGAUCUUUAACUCAUUUCAGCGCUGACAAAGUCAGCCGAUAUAGUUUAGAGAGCUAAAUGAGGAGCAAGAGACCCACAAUUUGAAGUAUUCAUAUUGGUUUUAUUGUUUCGCUUUGAAAAUAUCAUAUCAUCGUAUUUGUCAAGUUUGAUUAUAUUUGUUUCAAGUACAUUUUUUAGUUCAACUCUUUCUAAUUGGAUUAAAAAAACUAUACUUUGGUUAAUUUUGGAGGCAGAUCUCUUCUUGAUUAGCUCUGUUAAAAACUUCACCUAAAAACAUACAAUGUCGGUGACUUAAAAUUUUAAUCUACUGAUUCUUCUAAAGAGUAUCGUCAAUGUGAUAUGAUCAAAUUUGACCCGGAUUCACAUUAAAAAAUACAUAUUAAAAAAAAUAUAUAUAUUUAUUAAUGUCUUUACAAUAUGCUUCUGAAGUGUUACAAGCUUGUCCACGCUUAAUCCAAUUUUCUAGGUACUUCUAAGAAGCCUUCGAUUGCCUUCAGCGACUUCGGCGAAUUUUUGGUUUUUUCCUUCUAAAGAGUAUUGCAAAUUCCAUAGAUCAAAUUUGACCCG
Bactrocera dorsalis (oriental fruit fly) is the source of this 4083-nucleotide long non-coding RNA. RefSeq lists it as uncharacterized. NCBI's taxonomy places the organism in Eukaryota, Metazoa, Arthropoda, Insecta, Diptera, Tephritidae. The transcript is spliced from 3 exons. The record is from RefSeq and is a predicted model, not a curated record.